RNAcentral lists this ribosomal RNA (477 nucleotides) under Hartmannella sp. RNAcentral's name for it is "SSU rRNA". It matches the Rfam family "Eukaryotic small subunit ribosomal RNA", at positions 1244 to 1720 of the family's 1831-position model. Lineage: Eukaryota; Tubulinea; Elardia; Euamoebida; Hartmannellidae. The record is from RNAcentral.
CAUCCCUCUUUGAGCUCUUUCUUGAUUCAGUGGGUGGUGGUGCAUGGCCGUUCUUAGUUGGUGGAGUGAUUUGUCUGGUUAAUUCCGUUAACGAACGAGACCUUAACCUGCUAAAUAGUCACGCGAACCGGUCCGCAAGGGCUCAAAGUUCGCGGCUCGACUUCUUAGAGGGACUAUUCGCACCCGCCAGCGAAUGGAAGUUUGAGGCAAUAACAGGUCUGUGAUGCCCUUAGAUGUUCUCGGCCGCACGCGCGUUACACUGACGGAGUCAACGAGCGUUUUUCCUUGCCUGACAGGGCUGGGUAACCUCCUGAAACUCCGUCGUGAUGGGGAUAGAUCAUUGCAAUUAUUGAUCUUGAACGAGGAAUUCCUAGUAGGCGCGAGUCAUCAACUCGCGCCGAUUACGUCCCUGCCCUUUGUACACACCGCCCGUCGCUCCUACCGAUUGAACGGUCCGGCGAGAACUCCGGAUGGUCA